Long non-coding RNA from Amphiprion ocellaris (clown anemonefish), 354 nucleotides. RefSeq lists it as uncharacterized. The transcript is spliced from 3 exons. The record is from RefSeq and is a predicted model, not a curated record. Lineage: Eukaryota; Metazoa; Chordata; Actinopteri; Pomacentridae.
AGCAGACAGCGCGCUGGCGUAUCUAGUCUAUGUAUAUCUAUGGUCGGCACGUCUGGUAGCAUCUCUGGCUGCUGUUGAUCUUGUUUUUGGAGUAAAACACGGUGGAAGCUGAAUUAGUGAGGAUGACUCCUGCUCCUGUCAUCUCUAAGCUCCUCACACAUCUUUACCUGCACAUGAGGAAAAUCACUCCUGUAGAAUGCAGUGGUUCAUCAGAACCUCUGGGGAUGUCCUGUGGAUCCUGUGGGUUGCAGGGUGGGUCCUACCUAGACCAGGCUGAUCCUGGACCAUCCCACAGAUGCUCAAUCAGAUCUGGAUGUGGGGAGUGUGGAACCCAGGUGAACAGCUUAGCUCUGU